Non-coding RNA from Salvelinus sp. IW2-2015, 1089 nucleotides. NCBI's taxonomy places the organism in Eukaryota, Metazoa, Chordata, Actinopteri, Salmoniformes, Salmonidae. The record is from RefSeq and is a predicted model, not a curated record.
GAAAGUGUCACAGUUCAACUCCAAAGCUAUGAAUGACUGCAGAACUGCAAACGCCUAGUGUUCUUGUACAUGAAGCGGCAGGACUGAGAUAAGUUAGGGACACUGCUUGGUCCGUUUUAGGACUUUUGCCAACGUCGAAAUAACUUUUGGUCAACAAUUAAUAAUUCAACCAACUUGUUCCUGUGCUAGCGCAAACCAGAAAUCUCCUGCACUACUUAUAAUAAUGGAUUUCGUUGGAUGAGACGGAUGUGUCAUGAGACCGAGGUGAGAUGAACUACCGUUUGAAAUAAUUGACAGAAGACCACAUGGUGGUGGCCGUGGCUGUGUGCUGACCGACCAGCAGGAGUGGGCCGUGGUGGAAAUGGUGAGGGCCAGGAAUGUCCGAAAUAAAGCAUGCCAUUGAGGAGAACGAUGACACCGUUGUAAAUGUGGUAUCCAUCAGCCGACCAACAAUCGCCCGCCUUUUGAAGAGUCACCAGCAGGCUUCAACCUGGCGAAAACUCAGCGCCAUGGGCGGAACCUCAUUGGCCAACGGGUGACCGUCCAAGUGCCAGGUGGGGGAAACAUCUCCAUGUGUGCAGCUAUCUCUGAAGACGGUGUGGUAGGACGUAGGCCAUUACUUGGAUCCUACAACGCUGCACACCUCAUUGUGUAAAUUGAGCAGGCCUGUCAAGGUGAAGGGGUCACCUAUUUCAUUGCGUUGGACAAUGUUAGGUUUCACCAUGCAGAGGUGGUUCAGUCAUGGUAUGGGCCCAUCCCUGAUUCGUAACUCUAUAUCUGCCCCCAUACUCUCCUUUCCUCAACCCUAUUGAGGAUUAAUUUUCAGCAUGGAGGUGGAAGGUGUACGAUCACCAUCCCCAUGAGCGUGCCACCCUCCUUCUGGCAAAAGUUUUUUCCUGCGGUGCAUGAACAAUGAGGACAUUCACUGUGAUGUGGAUGAGAAUUUAUGGCCAAAUGCUCAAGACAGGAUUGAUGCAAAUUAAUGUGUGCUAAAUGUUAGGUUUUAUUUUCAUUCAUUUAAUUUGUUUCAUUUAAUUUCUUACAUUUGAUUACAGACAGUAAACCUAUGUUGCAAUUAUAUCUGAAAUA